UACGGGGGGGGCAAGCGUUGUUCGGAAUUACUGGGCGUAAAGGGCUCGUAGGCGGCCAACUAAGUCAGACGUGAAAUCCCUCGGCUUAACCGGGGAACUGCAUCCGAUACUGGCGGGCUUGAAUCCGGGAGAGGGAUGUGGAAUUCCAGGUGUAGCGGUGAAAUGCGUAGAUAUCUGGAGGAACACCGGUGGCGAAGGCGGCAUCCUGGACCGGUAUUGACGCUGAGGCGCGAAAGCUAGGGGAGCAAACGGG
Molecule: ribosomal RNA, 253 nt
Filed under: uncultured bacterium
Lineage: Bacteria
Description: partial 16S ribosomal RNA
Rfam family: Bacterial small subunit ribosomal RNA
Source: RNAcentral